This 373-nucleotide ribosomal RNA is filed under the name uncultured organism. RNAcentral describes it as "partial 16S ribosomal RNA". It matches the Rfam family "Bacterial small subunit ribosomal RNA", at positions 527 to 896 of the family's 1533-position model. The record is from RNAcentral.
GUAGGUGGCAAGCGUUGUCCGGAAUUAUUGGGCGUAAAGCGCGCGCAGGCGGUUCUUUAAGUCUGAUGUGAAAGCCCACGGCUCAACCGUGGAGGGUCAUUGGAAACUGGAGAACUUGAGUACAGAAGAGGAAAGCGGAAUUCCACGUGUAGCGGUGAAAUGCGUAGAGAUGUGGAGGAACACCAGUGGCGAAGGCGGCUUUCUGGUCUGUAACUGACACUGAGGCGCGAAAGCGUGGGGAGCAAACAGGAUUAGAUACCCUGGUAGUCCACGCCGUAAACGAUGAGUGCUAAGUGUUAGGGGGGUUUCCGCCCCCCUUAGUGCUGCAGCUAACGCAUUAAGCACUCCGCCUGGGAGUACGGCCGCAAGGCUG